UGCAGUCGACGAUGAAGCCCAGCUGCUGGGUGGAUAGUGGCCGAACCGGGUGAGUAACACGUGAGUAACCUGCCCUUAACUCUGGGAUAAGCCUGGGAAACUGGGUCUAAUACCGGAUAGGAGCGUCCUACCGCAUGGUGGGUGUUGGGAAAGAUUUAUCGGUUUGGGAUGGACUCGCGGCCUAUCAGCUUGUUGGUGAGGUAAUGGCUCACCAAGGCGACGACGGGUAGCCGGCCUGAGAGGGUGACCGGCCACACUGGGACUGAGACACGGCCCAGACUCCUACGGGAGGCAGCAGUGGGGAAUAUUGCACAAUGGGCGCAAGCCUGAUGCAGCGACGCCGCGUGAGGGAUGACGGCCUUCGGGUUGUAAACCUCUUUCAGUAGGGAAGAAGCGAAAGUGACGGUACCUGCAGAAGAAGCACCGGCUAACUACGUGCCAGCAGCCGCGGUAAUACGUAGGGUGCGAGCGUUAUCCGGAAUUAUUGGGCGUAAAGAGCUCGUAGGCGGUUUGUCGCGUCUGUCGUGAAAGUCCGGGGCUUAACCCCGGAUCUGCGGUGGGUACGGGCAGACUAGAGUGCAGUAGGGGAGACUGGAAUUCCUGGUGUAGCGGUGGAAUGCGCAGAUAUCAGGAGGAACACCGAUGGCGAAGGCAGGUCUCUGGGCUGUAACUGACGCUGAGGAGCGAAAGCAUGGGGAGCGAACAGGAUUAGAUACCCUGGUAGUCCAUGCCGUAAACGUUGGGCACUAGGUGUGGGGACCAUUCCACGGUUUCCGCGCCGCAGCUAACGCAUUAAGUGCCCCGCCUGGGGAGUACGGCCGCAAGGCUAAAACUCAAAGGAAUUGACGGGGGCCCGCACAAGCGGCGGAGCAUGCGGAUUAAUUCGAUGCAACGCGAAGAACCUUACCAAGGCUUGACAUGUUCUCGAUCGCCGUAGAGAUACGGUUUCCCCUUUGGGGUGGGUUCACAGGUGGUGCAUGGUUGUCGUCAGCUCGUGUCGUGAGAUGUUGGGUUAAGUCCCGCAACGAGCGCAACCCUCGUUCCAUGUUGCCAGCACGUCGUGGUGGGGACUCAUGGGAGACUGCCGGGGUCAACUCGGAGGAAGGUGAGGACGACGUCAAAUCAUCAUGCCCCUUAUGUCUUGGGCUUCACGCAUGCUACAAUGGCCGGUACAAUGGGUUGCGAUACUGUGAGGUGGAGCUAAUCCCAAAAAGCCGGUCUCAGUUCGGAUUGGGGUCUGCAACUCGACCCCAUGAAGUCGGAGUCGCUAGUAAUCGCAGAUCAGCAACGCUGCGGUGAAUACGUUCCCGGGCCUUGUACACACCGCCCGUCAAGUCACGAAAGUCGGUAACACCCGAAGCCGGUGGCCUAACCCUUGUGGGGGGAGCCGUCGAAGGUGGGACCAGCGAUUGGGACUAAGUCGUAACAAGUUAACCGUAAGUGUGCUGGGCGGAUGGCUUUGAAUUAAAAAGGGUGUUAACCCCCCAGAA
RNAcentral lists this ribosomal RNA (1490 nucleotides) under Micrococcus luteus. Its description in RNAcentral is "bacterial SSU rRNA". It matches the Rfam family "Bacterial small subunit ribosomal RNA". The record is from RNAcentral. Lineage: Bacteria; Bacillati; Actinomycetota; Actinomycetes; Micrococcales; Micrococcaceae.